GAUGAACGCUAGCGGCAGGCUUAAUACAUGCAAGUCGUACGGCAGCAACACCUUCGGGUGGUUGGCGAGUGGCGCACGGGUGAGUAACGCGUACGAAAUCUACCUUUCACAGGGGGAAAGUCGCUGGAAACGGCGAAUAAUCCCGCAUAACACUAUUAUAUCGCAUGGUAAAAUAGUCAAAGCUACGGUGGUGAAAGAUGAUCGUGCGUUCCAUUAGCUAGUUGGUAAGGUAACGGCUUACCAAGGCAACGAUGGGUAGGGGGCGUGAGAGCGUGAUCCCCCACACGGGUACUGAGACACGGACCCGACUCCUACGGGAGGCAGCAGUAAGGAAUAUUGGUCAAUGGAGGCAACUCUGAACCAGCCAUGCCGCGUGUGUGAUGAAGGCCCUACGGGUUGUAAAGCACUUUUAUAUAGGAAGAAUGACAGGGAUUUAUCCUUGGAGAGACGGUACUAUAAGAAUAAGCACCGGCUAACUCCG
This 481-nucleotide ribosomal RNA is filed under the name uncultured Saprospira sp. RNAcentral describes it as "bacterial SSU rRNA". It matches the Rfam family "Bacterial small subunit ribosomal RNA", at positions 28 to 505 of the family's 1533-position model. Lineage: Bacteria; Pseudomonadati; Bacteroidota; Saprospiria; Saprospirales; Saprospiraceae. The record is from RNAcentral.